Long non-coding RNA from Numida meleagris (helmeted guineafowl), 4851 nucleotides. RefSeq lists it as uncharacterized. The record is from RefSeq and is a predicted model, not a curated record. Lineage: Eukaryota; Metazoa; Chordata; Aves; Galliformes; Numididae. The transcript has 3 exons.
UUCAGUGAGGUGUCCGUUAAGGGUCCCUUCCAACUCAAAUGAUUCUAUGAUUGUAUGAAACACUGGCAUGCUUCUGAUUCCAUGUGUGCUCCCUUCGCCUCCUCUGUCACACCUGCUUAUGUUUCUGGAGCUCACGGUUUCAAAACAGAAAACAAGCAAAAACACACCAUGUCUGAGGGAAAGAAGGAACUUUGUCAAGCUAGAAAAAGAAGCUAAUACUGAAGCAUGGUCAACAUGCUCCUUCAUCUUAGCAACAUACAUCUGUACAUUCUCAAAUAUCCUAGGGCUUUUUCAAUGCCAAUCUUUUAAGAUAUUGUUCUGCAAUUUCUUUUGGUGAGUCCAAAGGAGGUGGAUGAAGCUGUGCCUGGCACAGCUGUCUGCCCAAGCACACUGAGCUACAAAAGCAGGAGUUUGGUGCUUGCCUGCCACAAGUAAAAUUAAGUCUUCAAUCUUCUGCAAUUUCAAACUGAAAACCCAAAUCAAUAAACCUCUCAGUUCUCCUUGAACUACAACCUAAGAGCAUAGGCCAAAAACUCUAUGUUAUUCAUUUAUUUUUCCUUUCUUCCCUGUAGGAAAGCUUCUAAGAAUUCAAUCUAGCAGCUCAAGCUUAAUUGCUCACUUUGAGACAGCCCCAAACUUGGAGCCUUGUCUGACUGAAGGGUUUGAAGGAACUCUAAUGUAUUUGUAACAUCAGUGCUCAGAAGAGAAUUUUAAAAAAUUUAUCUAGACUCUUUCUCUUCAUAUGCAAACAACUGGACGUUAAUAAAUUAGCAGCAAAAUGUAAGACAUUCACAUAGUUUAGAAAAUAAUGAGGCCUAUAUAGCUGUUUCUCUAAAACUUAUUAGACUUGAAGGAUUCAUCUAUAAAAUCAACCUUAAUUGUCCAGAACCAGCCAUCAGUUAGAUUUGGGAAUACAUCAUUCCAAUUGAUUGCAACUACAGACAUACAGCAAGUGACAAAUACCCCUGCCAAGACUACUGGUUCUGUUCCUAAACUGUGACUCCCUUUCUAACUACAGGCCUAAUUUCUGCCAUUUCCUGGUGCCCCAUUCAGGCUCAGUCCUUCCUGGUGGGAACUGCUGCCCAGAGCCACAAAGGAUGCAGGUGACCAAGCCUCGAGUGUUGGCAUCUGUUCAAGCCAAAGCUUCUCUCUUUGAAAAAUGUUAUUUAGGCUGCAGCCAACUCCUGCACUAACAACAUCUCUAUCUCCUAAACGUCGGCCAUGCAGACAGCUCUCUGGUGAUGCUGCAAAGCAAUUAAGAGAACCCUGUAGAGCCUGGGCUAAUUCUGUUUCACUAGAAACGUUCAGACUGCUGAACUGUGAUGGGGUGGAAGUUCAACGCUAUCAUUAGCCAUGUAUGAAAGACAACUUUGACCUAUUUUACCCCCCACUCUAGUUCUGUAAUGAAGGCAUCAAGAAUUCAUUCCAGGGAAAGAUGCAAGACUGGAACUCUUCCUGCAGAAGGAGAUACUUUAGUUCCCAGAGGAAUACAUCCAUUACCCAACAUUUUCUACAACUGGCUCACUCAGUUCCUCCCUUGUUUCUGUAAUAUCAGGGACUCCACCACCUAUAGAGCAUGAAGUCUGAAGUCAGGACUGGAGAUUCCUCUGUGACAGCAAAGGUCCUUAAGACAGGUCAUAUAAUACCAAUCACAAGGCUUCUGUCUUUUGAAUAUUCAUCCCAAAGUGUUUUGACAAGCAGAGAAAGUUCUUAAAUAUAGGCUGAAAGUCAGGCACAUGCUCCAGUGCACAACAAACAGAGCUAUUUAAGUUUGAAAUAAUGCAUUUUGUGAAGCUCUGAUCCAGAAAACCUUCUUGGAAGUUUUGUGUGCAAAUGCUGCACAGCUCAGAGGAUCACACUCAGCAGUAGCUCUGACACUUCCCAGUGUUCCUCCACACACCUCAUUCAUUUCCUCUGCUGUCAGUCAUUCAUGCACCAGCUUUCCCCUCUCACAAAAUCAUGUAGAGGUUUUUGUUUUCAUCAUCCCUCAUCCUUGGCUUUAGACAGGACUCUCACCAGAGGAAUGAAAGACUUCAGGAGCUGUUUUUUGCUUUUUUGAUAUGGUUGAAAUUUGUGCAUUCCAAUACCUACGAAAGGAGAGCUCUCCAUCAGAAAACACAAUAUAGACUGUUAUUUUUAUUCUGUUGCAUCAACACCUCAUACGAGGCUGUUUCUCAUUAUAAAUGAUAUAGUCCCACUUGAUUUUCCCUUUCCACUCACUUCUGCAAAGACCUUUGGUAUCCAAGUACCAUUUCCUAGGAAUACACACCAUCACACAGAGCUCUGCCAUGAUGAGACUAACUGUACCAGCUGGCCUAGGAAAGCAGUCAGGUGGAUUUAUUAGCAUUCCUGAUGAAAAUUGUUUGUUUGUUUUCCCCUCUGUUCCCUUCAGAUUUCUGAUUUGGUUUAUUUUUUCUUUAAUCUUUUUUUCCAAGUCUGAUCCAAGGCUUUGCUGAAACGAGCACAAGCAAUGGUAUUUAAGAUUGCAGACAUGGCUAAUGACAGCAUUGGCUUCUGCUUAACUUCUUUUCAUUUUUAACAGCCCUUGCCCUGCAGGUAUAAAAAGGGAAUUAGAGCCAUAAGGCACAGCUUCAGAUUUGUUCUCUUAAUUAGUUCCUGCCAUGGUGGAUUAAUUCCAUUUGCAAUGUGUUGCCAUCUCUGCAGAAGUUUAUUGUAGUGGAAUGGGGGAUUAAUGAGGAGAGUGGAUGCCAAGACACGCCAGCUGUCUGUAAGCCGCCCAUAAUGGGAUCAGCACAGAUGGUACCGAUGCUCUCCUUAAGUAUCACUGAAGGUGAGGAGUUUUUUCCUAUCAACCUGACACAUGCAGUUACUCAUCUGCUGCAGAGAAUAAAAUGAUAGAGCUGUAGCUCUUGACUCAAAAAGAGCAGGCAGAGGAGUUGGUUGUCUCAAGAUUCUCUCUCCUUUUCUUGAAGACGUGGAUCCAUAACACUAUGUAAAAAUCUCUCCCAUAUUAUGGCAAUUGAAAGAAGGGAGGGAGGAAUCUAGGAAUGCUGAAACACUUCAAAAGAAAUCUGGAGGUCCCAUUAUUGCACUGGCUUUGUGGGAUAGAGCUGGAGAGAGAAGGCUGUGGUGAGAGCUGUUCUUUUGAGAAGAGUGACCCAGGCCAAAGGACUGCAGGCUCUGAUUCAGUCUGGGAUAAGGACGAUCCUUGAAACGCCAUGGGUGGUCUCCAAGGCAGGCUCUGGGGCAGCUCUGGUGGGACACAGAGCUCCCAGGAGAACGGGACGCCUCCUCAGGAUGCUGCCAGUGCUUUCUUCUACACCAUCUUGCAAUAGCAGACAUCACUCUGCUCCUUAUUUCUUGUCUUCCAUUCCUUCUCCUCCCCUCCUUCUCCCCUGCCCUUCUCCCUCCCAUAAAACAAGAGCUCAAAAAUGGAAGACAAAGGCAACAAGGUUUAUGAUUGUUUUUCAGACGUGAACAAAAAAGUUAUCUCCAGAGGAAUGCCUGCUCUAGUCACACCUGCAGCCUAAUAACUGUCAUCCUCCAGAGAGACACAUGCUGUAAUUGAAUGGCACCAAAAUGCCAACACUCCUUCAUUAUUUUUAAUAUAUGCCUCCCUUCUGUAAACCAACAUAUCAGAAUCAUAAGCAUUAAGAGCAAUACCUUAUUUCCAGAUGAGUUUUCCUUAAGCUAAGAGAGCAUCAAGUCGCAUUUGUGUCGUUCAGUUAUUUUUGAAAGCCUUGGCUGGAGCCGGGGUAGAAGUCCAGCUGCGAAGAAUGGGAAAAAUACUUCUCUUUUUUAUGGAUUCAUUUGUCUUAGGUUUUGAGCUGCUUGAAGACAUUAGAGUCCAGUUCCCUAGCAGCUGGCUGUCCUUUUCACCUCAAGCCUUCCCCCCUACAUCAGCAGUGGCAAAUGAGCUUUUAACUCACACCAGUUGACAACCAGCAAAUUGUGUAAAUCCAGAAUAUUAGAAGCACAGGCGAUGGCAGAAGGAACAGGUCAGCCUGACACUGGAAGGAGAUAUGUUUUGAGCUUACCUUGGUGUGAAGAGGAGCUGAAGGAGGUGGGCUAACUGCAGGUACCAUUAACCUUCAGCAUUAACUGUGGGAAGUAGAACUGAUGGUAGAAGCACUACUGUGUUAAAUGGAAGCGAGGAAUCAGUUCACAUUCAUGUCAGCAAAUGCGAUCAGGACACAUAGAGGUAAGGUGAUUUUGCAUUCUUUGGUCUGCAGAAGAGAUUUUGCUCUAUGGAGAGGGCGCGCUAGCUUUGCCCUCUCCAUCCCAUCCAGCUCCCAUCUGUGGAAGAAUCAAAAAAAACGUCUUGCCCCUGAGGGGAUACCAGCUCCCAUGCACACUACGUGAAAGAAGCCAGAUUUUGGGACACUGAGUGUGCUGUUAAAGAGACUGAGAGGCAAAUUAAAGUCACGGCACCACAGAGUUCUGGGAAAAUGGCCAGUAGGAGCAGAAAAAGAAGCAAAACCACUCUGCAGGGUCAUCUUUCAUGAGAAGCCCUAAAGCUAAAGCAUGUGCAGGGGAUCAGGGAUUGGAACUGUGCUGAGCAGAGGAGGAAAAAGGCCCAACUACAGUGAGCUGCAAGAAGCCUUGCUCCCACCUCUCGGGAACAGCAAGUCUGCUUGGUCUCACUCCCCUGCCUCAAGCUUCUGCUUGAAGUCUCCAGUGCAAGAGCUCGUGAGCACCCUGCCAGGUGCCAGGACUGGCUGCACUGUGUCAAACUACUGAAUUUUACUAGCAUCAAAUAUUUUUCAGACAAUCAGUUUUGUAUGUGCAUGUCAGUGCUGAUCAUGUUCUCACCAAGGAAUUGUCAAAAUAUAGCUGUUUGACUCAAUUACCUCAAUCAAAUAAAAACUGUUUAGAUAAAUUAAGUGAAGU